Molecule: ribosomal RNA, 253 nt
Filed under: uncultured bacterium
Lineage: Bacteria
Description: partial 16S ribosomal RNA
Rfam family: Bacterial small subunit ribosomal RNA
Source: RNAcentral
UACGUAGGGGGCUAGCGUUGUCCGGAAUUAUUGGGCGUAAAGAGCUCGUAGGCGGUCUGUCGCGUCUGCUGUGAAAACUCGGGGCUUAACCCCGGGCCUGCAGUGGGUACGGGCAGACUAGAGUGCGGUAGGGGAGACUGGAAUUCCUGGUGUAGCGGUGAAAUGCGUAGAUAUCGAGAGGAACACCUGCGGCGAAGGCGGGUUGCUGGGCUGACACUGACGCUGAGGCGCGAAAGCUAGGGGAGCGAACGGG